GUACGAGAGGACCGGGAUGGACGUACCGCUGGUGUACCAGUUGUUCCGCCAGGAGCACCGCUGGGUAGCCAAGUACGGACGGGAUAAGCGCUGAAAGCAUCUAAGCGUGAAGCCCCCCUCAAGAUGAGAUUUCCCAAUUAGUAAGACCCCUUGAAGACGACGAGGUUGAUAGGUUCGGGGUGGAAGCACAGCAAUGUGUGGAGCUGACGAAUACUAAUCGGUCGAGGGCUUAUCCUA
RNAcentral lists this ribosomal RNA (237 nucleotides) under Paenibacillus catalpae. Its description in RNAcentral is "Paenibacillus sp. D75 Bacterial large subunit ribosomal RNA". It matches the Rfam family "Bacterial large subunit ribosomal RNA", at positions 2681 to 2925 of the family's 2925-position model. The record is from Rfam by way of RNAcentral. Lineage: Bacteria; Bacillati; Bacillota; Bacilli; Caryophanales; Paenibacillaceae.